RNAcentral lists this ribosomal RNA (678 nucleotides) under Salmonella enterica. RNAcentral's name for it is "bacterial SSU rRNA". It matches the Rfam family "Bacterial small subunit ribosomal RNA", at positions 844 to 1522 of the family's 1533-position model. Lineage: Bacteria; Pseudomonadati; Pseudomonadota; Gammaproteobacteria; Enterobacterales; Enterobacteriaceae. The record is from RNAcentral.
UUCCGGAGCUAACGCGUUAAGUAGACCGCCUGGGGAGUACGGCCGCAAGGUUAAAACUCAAAUGAAUUGACGGGGGCCCGCACAAGCGGUGGAGCAUGUGGUUUAAUUCGAUGCAACGCGAAGAACCUUACCUGGUCUUGACAUCCACAGAACUUUCCAGAGAUGGAUUGGUGCCUUCGGGAACUGUGAGACAGGUGCUGCAUGGCUGUCGUCAGCUCGUGUUGUGAAAUGUUGGGUUAAGUCCCGCAACGAGCGCAACCCUUAUCCUUUGUUGCCAGCGGUCCGGCCGGGAACUCAAAGGAGACUGCCAGUGAUAAACUGGAGGAAGGUGGGGAUGACGUCAAGUCAUCAUGGCCCUUACGACCAGGGCUACACACGUGCUACAAUGGCGCAUACAAAGAGAAGCGACCUCGCGAGAGCAAGCGGACCUCAUAAAGUGCGUCGUAGUCCGGAUUGGAGUCUGCAACUCGACUCCAUGAAGUCGGAAUCGCUAGUAAUCGUGGAUCAGAAUGCCACGGUGAAUACGUUCCCGGGCCUUGUACACACCGCCCGUCACACCAUGGGAGUGGGUUGCAAAAGAAGUAGGUAGCUUAACCUUCGGGAGGGCGCUUACCACUUUGUGAUUCAUGACUGGGGUGAAGUCGUAACAAGGUAACCGUAGGGGAACCUGCGGUUGGA